Molecule: transfer RNA, 85 nt
Filed under: Aspergillus terreus
Lineage: Eukaryota; Fungi; Ascomycota; Eurotiomycetes; Eurotiales; Aspergillaceae
Also listed under: 1 other name
Description: tRNA-Tyr
Source: RNAcentral
CCCCUGAUGGUCUAGUUGGAUAUGACGUCUGACUGUAAUGGAACAUUUCAUCAGAAGGUCGCUGGCUCGAUUCCGGCUCGGGGGA